GGAGCCAUGCCUGAAACAAAGGAUCACUUUGAUGGGGUGAAUCAUGGAGGUUAGAAUCCCCCCGACUCCU
This 70-nucleotide transfer RNA is filed under the name Odontobutis obscura. Its description in RNAcentral is "tRNA-Ile". It matches the Rfam family "tRNA". From Rfam's summary of the family: Transfer RNA (tRNA) molecules are approximately 80 nucleotides in length. Their secondary structure includes four short double-helical elements and three loops (D, anti-codon, and T loops). Further hydrogen bonds mediate the characteristic L-shaped molecular structure. tRNAs have two regions of fundamental functional importance: the anti-codon, which is responsible for specific mRNA codon recognition, and the 3' end, to which the tRNAs corresponding amino acid is attached (by aminoacyl-tRNA synthetases). tRNAs cope with the degeneracy of the genetic code in two manners: having more than one tRNA (with a specific anti-codon) for a particular amino acid; and 'wobble' base-pairing, i.e. permitting non-standard base-pairing at the 3rd anti-codon position. The record is from RNAcentral. Lineage: Eukaryota; Metazoa; Chordata; Actinopteri; Gobiiformes; Odontobutidae.